CUUGGAGGCCCACAACCCUUUAUGUGAAGCCCAAAACAAGGGUAAUGGGAGAAACCAAAACGCCAGCCGCUCCACCUUCAUGGAUACGCGUGCGUCGUUUGGAUUCCCCAGUCGUGGCCAGCUGUGCUAGGAAUAGGAGCAGACCAUGGGAACAUCCUAAGAGAAUAUGGUCUAUCAUGUUUACCAAUGACAAAAACUGCUGUCCUUUAUUGAUGUCAACCAAUUAAUUAAUAAUGAAAUGAAACUACCAUUACUAACAUCAACAAUAUAAUGAAACUUGUUAUCUGCUCCAAUUCCUCCUCAUUCAAAUAUUUCCACUUUUUGCAUCUUCUUUACUCAGCUCCGGCGGCAAGGAACGGUAACCGCCUACUAGUAACUACCCUUCGAAAUACCACAAAUUAAACAUGAACCCAAGCUUAUUUUAAACCAUGAACAUGGAUCUACAUCCAUCCUUCUCUAAAUAUCCUACCUUUGUUCAGAUCGGUACUUCAAACUCAACUUUGCCAAUCUUAAAAAUGCGACUUAUCCUUAGAACCAAAAAAACAAACAACAUUCGGUCCUAAAACAUAAACAGGAAGCAUCACAAAACAAGUAUAUGGAAGGAAACGAAUUAAAGCUCAGCUUAUUCAAUAUUAUAUUGACCUAAUACGUGUUCGAUUCUGAUUUGGUGAUUUCGUAACUCAUCAUAAUUUCCACCGUCCUGUACUUGGCUUGGAUCUCAUACAAGUGCCUUGCCUUGACUUAUACUCUCCUUGUUGUUACGUUAUGCUUGUUACUGCAGAUUUGCAGGAUUUCACAUAGGAUGGUCUUUGUUGACUGAUAUAUCAAGGUGAUUUUGGCCAGCCGUUUGUGGUUUUUCUGUGGGAAGCUUCUCCAACAGGCACAUUCGUCCUGCCUGCUCUGAUUCUUCCUAGCUCUUAUUUGUGCAUUAGUUCUUUGGUUUUAUAAAACUAAAUCGUGUAUUUGUCUGUAUGAUCCUAAUGUAUGUACAUUCAAUUCAAAUUGGUGGUUUGGUAACAGAUUUUGGUCGUGGUUCAGACUUUUAUUUAUGAAAACCUGUGGCAUCCAUUAUGCCUUUUGCUUUGGAGUAAUAGAGCUUAGCUUUUAUCUCUGCGGUUAUGAUUUGUGGUUCUCACGGUCUUAUGGAUGCAUUACAGGAGAUAGGCGUUACGAAGCUUAUGUUGGUGAUGUGUUACACGACGUGGUUAUCACUCACAUCAUGACUUGGUUUGUUUUCCUUCUUGCUAAUGUUUAUGGUCAUGGCAUUAAGAUGGGAAAUCGAAGCAUCCGUACACCAAUGUCCAACCAAGAAUCUAAAUGGGAUUCGAAGACGUGAAUUAGAACUAGGAUGGGGAUUUGGGGAUGAAAAGGGUUGGAUUCGAUCUUGGUCAACGAUUACCAAACUUUAUAACUUUCAUAAUAGCCAUCACAUAGAUUACAAUGAAUGAUGCUUCCAUGAUUAUUUGAUAUGGUCUGAUUGUGUUAACUGCACUAAACGUCAAUUUGUAAUCAGCUUGAUAAAACAACAUUUCUGAUCUUGAAUUUAAUCUCUUUUUUUCUUUUAA
Lathyrus oleraceus (garden pea) is the source of this 1565-nucleotide long non-coding RNA. RefSeq lists it as uncharacterized. Lineage: Eukaryota; Viridiplantae; Streptophyta; Magnoliopsida; Fabales; Fabaceae. The record is from RefSeq and is a predicted model, not a curated record. The transcript is spliced from 2 exons.